This 253-nucleotide ribosomal RNA is filed under the name uncultured bacterium. Its description in RNAcentral is "partial 16S ribosomal RNA". It matches the Rfam family "Bacterial small subunit ribosomal RNA", at positions 524 to 776 of the family's 1533-position model. The record is from RNAcentral.
UACGUAGGGGGCAAGCGUUGUCCGGAAUCAUUGGGCGUAAAGAGCGUGUAGGCGGCUCGUUACGUCUGCUGUGAAAGUCCAGGGCUCAACCCUGGAAGGCCGGUGGAAACUGUCGGGCUAGAGUCCGGUAGAGGCGAGUGGAAUUCCCGGUGUAGCGGUGAAAUGCGCAGAUAUCGGGAGGAACACCAAUGGCGAAGGCAGCUCGCUGGGACGGUACUGACGCUGAGGCGCGAAAGCGUGGGGAGCAAACAGG